Molecule: ribosomal RNA, 512 nt
Filed under: uncultured bacterium
Lineage: Bacteria
Description: bacterial SSU rRNA
Rfam family: Bacterial small subunit ribosomal RNA
Source: RNAcentral
CUGGCGGCGUGCCUAAUACAUGCAAGUCGAACGGUCUUUCUAUGGAAGCUUGCUUCCACUGAGAAGAUAGUGGCGAACGGGUGAGUAACACGUGGGUAACCCUGCCCAUAAGAGGGGGAUAACAUCCGGAAACGGGUGCUAAUACCGCAUAGUUUUCUUGAUCGCAUGAUCGGGAAAGGAAAGACGGCCUUUGUGCUGUCGCUUAUGGAUGGACCCGCGGCGUAUUAGUUAGUUGGUGAGGUAACGGCUCACCAAGACGAUGAUACGUAGCCGACCUGAGAGGGUGAUCGGCCACAUUGGGACUGAGACACGGCCCAAACUCCUACGGGAGGCAGCAGUAGGGAAUCUUCCGCAAUGGACGAAAGUCUGACGGAGCAACGCCGCGUGAGUGAAGAAAAGGGUUUUCGGAUCGUAAAACUCUGUUGUCAGAGAAGAACAAGUUGGAGAGUAACUGCUCCAGCCUUGACGGUAUCUGACCAGAAAGCCACGGCUAACUACGUGCCAGCCGCGGC